ACGGGAGGCAGCAGUGGGGAAUAUUGGGCAAUGGAGGCAACUCUGACCCAGCAAUGCCGCGUGAGCGAUGAAGGUAAUUUUAUUGUAAAGCUCUUUUCUGAGGGACGAAUCAAGUGACGGUACCUCAGGAAUAAGCCCCGGCUAACUACGUGCCAGCAGCCGCGGUAAUACGUAGGGGGCGAGCGUUGUCCGGAAUGACUGGGCGUAAAGGGUGUGUAGGUGGUUUGAUAAGUUAGAAGUGUAAUACCCAGGGCUUAACUCGGGUGCUGCUUCUAAAACUGUUAGACUUGAGUACUGGAGAGGAUAGUGGAAUUCCUAGUGUAGCGGUGGAAUGCGUAGAUAUUAGGAGGAACAUCAGUGGCGAAGGCGACUAUCUGGACAGCAACUGACACUGAGGCACGAAAGCGUGGGGAGCAAACAGGAUUAGAUACCCUGGUA
This 438-nucleotide ribosomal RNA is filed under the name uncultured bacterium. RNAcentral's name for it is "partial 16S ribosomal RNA". It matches the Rfam family "Bacterial small subunit ribosomal RNA", at positions 341 to 792 of the family's 1533-position model. The record is from RNAcentral. RNAcentral also lists the same sequence under 1 other name.